This 465-nucleotide ribosomal RNA is filed under the name uncultured bacterium. Its description in RNAcentral is "partial 16S ribosomal RNA". It matches the Rfam family "Bacterial small subunit ribosomal RNA", at positions 338 to 795 of the family's 1533-position model. The record is from RNAcentral.
CCUACGGGUGGCUGCAGUGGGGAAUUUUGCGCAAUGCUCGUAAGAGUGACGCAGCGACGCCGCGUGAAUGACGAAGGCCUUCGGGUCGUAAAGUUCUUUCGACAGGGAAGAAAAUGAAUAUACGUAACUGUGUAUGUCUUGCCGGUACCUGUAUACGCAGCCCCGGAUAACUCCGUGCCAGCAGCCGCGGUAAUACGGAGGGGGCGAGCGUGGUUCGGAGAGACUGGGCGUAACGGGCACGUAGGUGGUGUUGUAAGUCAUUAGUCAAAGACUAGAGCUCAACUGUAGUAAGGCUAGUGAUACUAUAAUACGAGAGUAUCAGAGAGGAUUGCAGAAUUCCUGGUGUAGCGGUGAAAUGCGUAGAUAUCAGGAGGAAUACCGUUAGCGAAGGCGGCAAUCUGGCUGGAAACUGACGCUGAGGUGCGAAAGCGUGGGUAGCAAACAGGAGUAGAUACCCUAGUAGUC